GGAAUAUUGGACAAUGGGGGCAACCCUGAUCCAGCGACGCCGCGUGGGUGAAGAAGGCCUGCGGGUUGUAAAGCCCUUUCGGACGGAACGAAAUCGCGCGGGUGAAUAUCCCGCGUGGAUGACGGUACCGUAAGAAGAAGCACCGGCUAACUACGUGCCAGCAGCCGCGGUAAUACGUAGGGUGCGAGCGUUAAUCGGAAUUACUGGGCGUAAAGUGUGCGCAGGCGGCGUCGCAAGUCGAGUGUGAAAGCCCCGAGCUUAACUUGGGAAUUGCGCUCGAAACUACGGUGCUGGAGUGUGGCAGAGGAAGGUGGAAUUCCACGUGUAGCGGUGAAAUGCGUAGAGAUGUGGAGGAACACCGAUGGCGAAGGCAGCCUUCUGGGCCAACACUGACGCUCAUGCACGAAAGCGUGGGGAGCAAA
This 422-nucleotide ribosomal RNA is filed under the name uncultured bacterium. Its description in RNAcentral is "bacterial SSU rRNA". It matches the Rfam family "Bacterial small subunit ribosomal RNA", at positions 358 to 772 of the family's 1533-position model. The record is from RNAcentral.